This 31-nucleotide transfer RNA is filed under the name Blepharisma stoltei. RNAcentral's name for it is "tRNA-Ala(agc)". Lineage: Eukaryota; Ciliophora; Heterotrichea; Heterotrichida; Blepharismidae. The record is from RNAcentral.
GGGAGUCUAGCUCAAAUGGUAGAGCGCUUGC